Molecule: ribosomal RNA, 405 nt
Filed under: uncultured bacterium
Lineage: Bacteria
Description: partial 16S ribosomal RNA
Rfam family: Bacterial small subunit ribosomal RNA
Source: RNAcentral
GACGAACGCUGGCGGCGUGCUUAACACAUGCAAGUCGAACGAGUGGCGAACGGGUGAGUAACACGUGGGUGAUCUGCCUUGCACUACGGGAUAAGCUUGGGAAACUGGGUCUAAUACCGGAUAGUGCAAGAUGAGCUCGCGGCCUAUCAGCUGGUUGGGGGGGUAAUGGCUACCAAGGCGCGACGGGUAGCCGGCCUGAGAGGGGGUACGGCCCCAUUGGGCCUGAGAUACGGCUCAGACUCCUACGGGAGGCAGCAGUGGGGCAUAUUGCACAAUGCGCGAACGCCUGAUGCAGCGACGCCGCGUGGGGGAUGAAGGCUGUCGGGUUGUAAACCUCUUUCGAUAUCGAACGGGUAGGUGGAGAAGAAGCGCCGGCUAACUACGUGCCAGCAGCCGCGGUAAUAC